CCUGCGGUAGCAGCCACUGCGCCUGCGCACAGCCUCAGGGGGGGCGGAGCCCUCGGUGCACCCCCUCUUUUGCCCUGCCCUCCUUCUCUUUCCACCCACCCACCCCGACACCCCUCGUCCCUCCCCCAACCACCCCGAACGGAUAGACAGGGCGGAUUCUCCCUGUGGGGAAGGACACUGUGUGCAUGUCUUGCCUUCGCUGCCACCUCCUCCUUCUCAAUAUCCUCUUGCUGGGAGGAGGUUCCUCAUCUCCGUUGUUGCAUCCAGCUGCUGCUACUGCCAGUGCCACGUGCCUUGUAAGCCAUGAAAGAGGCUGACACCUGCACACUCGGGCACGACUUAAAAUAGAACUUGUCAAACAGUGAUCCUCUCUGGAUCAAGCUCGGAAGAACAAACAGCUCUUGAACUCGCCUCCCAGCCUAAAAAGACUGCAGUGUGUGACAAUGUGGGGUAGUUUGGUGGGAACGACAAAUCCGACACUUUCAAAAUCCUGACGAUCCUCAGGAAUUCGGAAGUCAGGGGAUUCUAUGCUGGAUUGUGAAGCAUCUGUUUCUGCUUGAUGUAGCUACUCAAUUUUGUAUUCUUGACUAAUAAAGUCAUAAACAUAAUGCAACCUCUGUGUGUGCUCUCCUUCCAUUAAUUUAUACUUUACCUAAAAGUAUUGAAUGUGUAUGUUAUAUAACAGUUUCCUAUAAAUGACAUUAAAUGAUUUAUUAGUUCUAUUCAAUAAAGUUUUAAGUGUUUUCUUCUAUGACUACAUUACUUGUUAACAAGAAAUUUCUUUAUUUUUAACUGAAAACUUCAAGCGAGAUUAUCUGGGAAUUCUUUCAAACAGAAUUUUACCUGUAUUUUGGGAUUGAAUAUAUUAAUUUCUUUUACUAUUUUAAUAGGACAUAAUUUUACGAGACAAGCCACUUUUUCAAAGCCUGCUUCCCCUCCCAUUUUCCCUAUCUGUGUGAUUGGCACCUUCAACCCCUGUAGCCUGCCUCUGCUCUGUCUUAACCAAGUCCUACUGAUACUACUUCUUAAGUAUUUUUGAGCCCUGUCCUUCCUCUCCAUCAUAGUGGACUCAUUUCUAGGUGAAAUCCUUAUGGUACCCUCCCUGUAUUAUUGUAGUAAUCAGAGAGUUGGUCUCCUUACCUCAGGAUUCACUUCUUCUCAUCUGUUGUUCACAGUGACAUCAGAAAGAUAUUUUUAAGUUAUGAAAUAGAAUUAAUUAUAUAAAACACACAUAUACACAUAAAUAGCACUUAAAUCCUUCAAUGAUGUUUCAAUUAUAUAAAAUAUAAUAUAGAGGGCACUUUAUGUUCUGGCCUCAAUCUUUCAAUUCAAACUUGUCUCCUGCCACUCUCUCCUUUGAGCAUUGUAUUCCAGCUACUUUAGAAUAACAAUAAUAUAUAAUAUUUGUGGAGCCCUUCCUGGGUUCCUAUCACUGUACAAAAUACUUCACAUAUAUUAUAUCAUUUACUCUUCGACAACUUUAUUAGGUAGGUACUAUUAUUAUCUAUAUUUUAUAGAUAAGAAAAAAGAGGGUUAAAACUUGCCAAAGUUACAAAGCUUAGAAGUGUAGCAGUUGGGAUUUGAAUCUAGGCACCCUGCCUCUAAAGUCCACAGUGGCUUUCUUGUGCCACAAGGCUUGCAGUUCCCUAGACUUGACUUUCUCAAAAUCUGUGUCUUUCACAUGCUCUUCCAAUUGUCUGGAAAAUCUGUCACAACCUCGUUCUACCUGUGGUACUCAUGUUCAUCCCAUAAGACUUGACUCCAUCUGUUCCCCCUCCAUGAAAGUUUCCCUGAAUCUCAGCACUUUGGGAGGCUGAGGCUGGUGAAUCGCCUGAGAUCAGAAGUUCGAGACCACCCUGGGCAACGUGGUGAAACCCCGUCUUUACUAAAAUACAAAAAACUAGCCAGGCAUAGUGGCGCACACCUGUAAUUCCAGCUGCUCAGGAGGCUAAGGCUGGAGAAUUACUUGAUCCUGGAGGCAGAGGUUGCAGUGAGCCAAGAUCACACCACUGCACUCCACCUUGGCCUACAGAGUGAGACUCCAUCAAAAAAAAGAAAGGAAGAAAGGAAGAAAAGGAAGGAAGGAAGGAAGGAAGGAAGGAAGGAAGGAAGGAAGGAAGGAAAAAGAGAAGGAAGGAAGGGAAAGGAAAGAAGAAAGAAAGAGAAAAAGAAAGAAAAGAGAGAGAGAGAAAGAAAAAAGAAAGAAGAGAAAAAAGGAAAGAAAGGAAAGAAAGAGAAAGAAAGAGAAAGAAAGAGAAAGAAAGAAAGAAAGAAAGAAAAGAAAGAAAGAAAGAAAGAAAGAAAGAAAGAAAGAAAGAAAAGAAAGAAAGAAAAAAGAAAGUAAGUUUCUCUGACUCCCUGGUCAGGGCUCAUGCCUUGGCACUGAGGGCAUCUUGCAAAACUGAAGGAGGCCACUUGGUGUAACAGACAGAAAAUAA
This is a long non-coding RNA of Symphalangus syndactylus (siamang), 2438 nucleotides long. RefSeq lists it as uncharacterized. Lineage: Eukaryota; Metazoa; Chordata; Mammalia; Primates; Hylobatidae. The record is from RefSeq and is a predicted model, not a curated record.